AUGGAGGACAGCAAUUCAACGUAUUUAUGCGCAGCAGAGUCAAGAGGGCUGCACUGUGCCUGGGACACACACCAGCAUAGUUCCGGGCGUACCACAGGGACACAGAUCAGCGCCUCAUUUAAGCCACCCUGUCCCCAAGAACACAAUGAAGAGUGCAGCUGGACUACUUCAAAUGGAGACACUUUGUGUUUCAUGGCCACUUGCUGUUACAGGGACAUUUCUGGUGCCUUUUUGACCGUAGGCUCAUUGGUGAGGCCUGAAGCAUCAUGCAGCUGGGCAGCCAUGUGCCUCGAUGGGAAUAAAAAUCGCAGCUGUGAUGCCAUUAGCAAUAGGAUUGCUGCCAUCUGUUGGUUGGAAUCACAUGGGGAACAGGAAGAGUCCUCGAAGGGACAGUGCCAUGUAAGAUGCAGAUCUGCUGAAACAAGGAUAUUUUGAUUGCAAUGACAAGUCCGAUGCAAUCAUGCUUUGGAAAUGGGGAGGGGGGCACCAAGUGAUUAGUCUGCAUUGUUGUAUUACAUCCUUGCCGCCCUGCAUAUCAGCUCAAAACCUUUGCUGAAGUGCUGGGUAAAGUUUUGUAUUUUCAGAAAGUGUGAAAAUAAUUUAAACUUCACGGUUAAAAUUUGUAAAAUUUUGAAUAACUAUUGGAUAAUAAGUUCCAAUAUACUUCAGAGACUGCAUUACUAUGCAGUAAAGGAAAUCCUUCACUUUGUAGCCAUUGCAUCUUUAAAGGUGAUGCUUUACCUUAACACAUUUCAGCACACACCUCUGAAUCCACUUUUCCCCAUAUUUAAAUAUGUGCUUUCCUUCCACAGUGAUGGUCACUUGUGUUCUGCAGACCUGACCUGGGCUCUGCUGAAUGAUGCCUUUGGGGACUUUCCCAGGCCCCCAAGAACCUGACCAGCCACUCACCUGGGGUCUUGGGUCUUGCCAAACCACCUCUGGGGUACAAAAACGCAGGCUGUGGGUCUACAAAUAUUUCCCUUUGCAGCAGUGCCAGCUCCAGCAGUUUGUGCUGCUGAUUGCUCGUGGCCACCCCACAGCUAUGCCCUUGCUAACUACUGUUCCUGGGAUGGCACCGUAGGCCAAACAAGCAAACUCACAUGGACUGGAAAUAACCACUCCCCUUUCUUUUUUAAAAAAAAUAUAUAUUUUUUUUAAAGCUGCAUGAAUUUCCCGGACCCGUCUGUAUGUCCUCCCACAAACACAGCACAGCUGAUGGAGGAGAGCACCUGGAGAACUGCUGAAUGCUACUGCUGUGACAAAUGCAUGCCCGUGUCAGCAGGGCUGUCAGCGUAGCCCAAACUUGUAAAAGUUUUCGACCAGCCUAUCAAAUAAGUUUCAUAGGCUUGUCCAAAGGCUGUAACUAACCAGGUUUUAGCAUCUCUGCCCUCCAAACGCAGAUCAGCUCAAAACUCACAUUCACUACCUGUAGCUC
RNAcentral lists this long non-coding RNA (1435 nucleotides) under Anser cygnoides (Swan goose). RNAcentral describes it as "lncRNA (ENSACDG00005017771.1)". Lineage: Eukaryota; Metazoa; Chordata; Aves; Anseriformes; Anatidae. The record is from RNAcentral.